AUGUCACGUGUAUGGCAUGUGGAAAUGAAUCAGGGGCAUGUGAGGAGGAGGAGGACGCCUGUGUCUGUGUUUGCAUCCAAGGAUCUCCUCUCACUCUGUGUUUGCGUAGGUGUCUGGCUCCCUGCUCCCCCUCCCUGCGCUGCUGCCUCGCUCCCUCCCUGCCUCCCGCUCAUCCUCCAUCUGGCCAGCUCUGCUUUCCCUGCCAGCUCCAGCAAUUCCUCAAGCAGAAACUGCAGCUUUUUUUCCCGCAUCCCAGCAGCAAAACGAGGGGGCCCCCAAUUCCCGGUGCCCACCUGGGGGAGAGCAGGGACACGUGCUCCCCAGCAUAUCUCCCUUUCCCAUUCCCCUCCCCCCGCAUUUUUGCUCCUUGCUCAGCACCCAGCGCCCUGCACAUUGCACCAAGGGCAAGCCCAUAACGUCAGCGUGAUACAGCCGCCAGCCAAGUCCCCUUGCAGAGGGUGGGUCGCGCUCGCCCCUUUGCCCUCCUCCCCCUGCCCCAAGCCGAGCUCAGAGCCUGCACCCCAACGGAGAGGUGUGGCUGGGAAUGGAGGGGGGAGCACACCCUACACCCCAUUCCCACAGCACCUCCCUUGCCUGCCCAGAGCCCCCAGUAUCACUCCCGUCGGUUCCAUCACCCCCUCCCCAAGUGAUAAGCUCAGCAGUGCUUUCUUUUUCCCUUUCUUUUUUCCUUCCCUUUCCUUUGAAGUCUCCCUGUGCAGCGGGCGAUCUGGGACGUCUCUGCAUCCCCAGGCUCCCUCCCAGGACUCCCUGCCGCCACCCCUCAGGCCCCCAGCCCCAAGGCGCGUUGCCCCACUACGGAUGCUUUCCCCCAAAGCCCCUUCCCCACCAGGGAACGGCCAUUCCCUCCCAGCACUCCCUUCUUUCCCCAGCCCUCUCUCAGCUCCAUUCCUGGCACUGCCGUCGCCCACCUCGCUGUCCCCAGGCUGUCCCCGCGUCCCCCCCACGGCCGUGGCCGCGCUGCAGUGUGCGGGAGGUGCCUGCAGCACGCGGGCUAUAAAUAGCACCGAGAGCUGCGCUCCCAUUGACACCGUUUGGACAGAACAUGGAAAAAUAAACAAAGGAAACUCCGGCUCCAAAAGGCAGCCGCGUUCCUGCCGCUAA
RNAcentral lists this long non-coding RNA (1122 nucleotides) under Phasianus colchicus (ring-necked pheasant). RNAcentral's name for it is "lncRNA (ENSPCLG00000005535.1)". Lineage: Eukaryota; Metazoa; Chordata; Aves; Galliformes; Phasianidae. The record is from RNAcentral.